AAAGCACUUUUGUCCGGAAAGAAAUCAUCCUGGUUAAUACCCGGGGUGGAUGACGGUACCGGAAGAAUAAGCACCGGCUAACUACGUGCCAGCAGCCGCGGUAAUACGUAGGGUGCAAGCGUUAAUCGGAAUUACUGGGCGUAAAGCGUGCGCAGGCGGUUCGCUAAGACAGAUGUGAAAUCCCCGGGCUUAACCUGGGAACUGCAUUUGUGACUGGCGGGCUAGAGUAUGGCAGAGGGGGGUAGAAUUCCACGUGUAGCAGUGAAAUGCGUAGAGAUGUGGAGGAAUACCGAUGGCGAAGGCAGCCCCCUGGGCCAAUACUGACGCUCAUGCACGAAAGCGUGGGGAGCAAACAGGAUUAGAUACCCUGGUAGUCCACGCCCUAAACGAUGUCAACUAGUUGUCGGGUCUUCAUUGACUUGGUAACGUAGCUAACGCGUGAAGUUGACCGCCU
Molecule: ribosomal RNA, 454 nt
Filed under: bacterium Fuku2-ISO-142
Lineage: Bacteria
Description: bacterial SSU rRNA
Rfam family: Bacterial small subunit ribosomal RNA
Source: RNAcentral